UACGUAGGGGGCAAGCGUUAUCCGGAAUGAUUGGGCGUAAAGCGUCCGCAGGUGGCAAUGUAAGUCUGCUGUUAAAGAGUCUAGCUCAACUAGAUAAAAGCAGUGGAAACUACAUAGCUAGAGUACGUUCGGGGCAGAGGGAAUUUCCGGUGGAGCGGUGAAAUGCGUAGAGAUCGGAAAGAACACCAACGGCGAAAGCACUCUGCUGGGCCGACACUGACACUGAGACACGAAAGCCAGGGGAGCAAACGGG
RNAcentral lists this ribosomal RNA (253 nucleotides) under uncultured bacterium. Its description in RNAcentral is "partial 16S ribosomal RNA". It matches the Rfam family "Bacterial small subunit ribosomal RNA", at positions 524 to 776 of the family's 1533-position model. The record is from RNAcentral.